This 359-nucleotide long non-coding RNA is filed under the name Brachypodium distachyon (stiff brome). Its description in RNAcentral is "long non-coding RNA (BDIS_LNC001647)". Lineage: Eukaryota; Viridiplantae; Streptophyta; Magnoliopsida; Poales; Poaceae. The record is from RNAcentral.
GAUUACACAAACGCGUGCGUUUUUGCGUGCUCAAUUUCUGGACCUUAGCGAGCGGAGAGCUCACCGAAGCGACACACGAGAGACCAACGACGUGCUCUGCUAGGAAAAGGCAAGUGAUGACGCCCGGCGUUAUGCGGCUUUUUUUUUUGUCAAUUGAAUCAUCCCCUCUCUUUUUUUUUGUAAAGUGACCGUGGGGGAUCAAAAUCCGGACUACGCUACUGUUGACCUCAAUUAAUUUACUACAAGUACAAUUUAUAGAAUUUCAAUUGAUGGGAAGUUUCUCUGAUACGAAAGUUCUGACAGUUGUGGCCCGCAUGUUCGGUGCACAAGUAAGACUUCUAACGAGACAGGUCGGGUCC